This 1363-nucleotide ribosomal RNA is filed under the name Hypomecis punctinalis (pale oak beauty). RNAcentral describes it as "16S ribosomal RNA". Lineage: Eukaryota; Metazoa; Arthropoda; Insecta; Lepidoptera; Geometridae. The record is from RNAcentral.
AUAAAAUUUAUAUAUAAUAAAAUUAAUUUUAAUUUAUUUAAUAUUUAAUGGGGGUUAAAGUAUUAUUUAAAGAAAAAAUUUAAAAUUUUAUAGUGAAUUAGUAUUGAGAAAGAAUUUUGAAAUAUUUGAAAAUAAUUUUAAUAAAAAGUAAAUUUUAUUUAUUGUAUCUUGUGUAUCAGAGUUUAUUAAAAAUUUUUAAUUUAUUUUAAUUUCUCGAAUUUAAAAGAGUUAAUUAAUUAUUAAAGUUAUUGUAGCAAAAUUAUUUUAAAUAAUUAAUUUGAAAUGAAAUGUUAAUCGUUUUUAAAUAUAUCUAGUUUUUUUAGAAAAAAAUUUAAUUUUAAAAUUAUUUUUUAAUUAAAUUAAUUAAUUAAUUUAAUUAAAGGUGAUUUAUAUAUUUUAAGGGAUAAGCUUUAAAUUAAAUUUUUAUAAUUUAAUUUAAUAAAAAAAUUGAAAAUUUUAUAAUUUAUAUUGUUAAUAAAUUUUAUUUUAUUAUAAAUAAUUUCAUCAUAAAAAAAAUUUAUUAAAAUAUAUUUAAUUUUUUAUAAAAAUAUAAUUUUUAAUUUAAUUGUAUUAAUAAUAAUGAUAAAAUUAGUAUAUAUAAGAAUUUAUAAAUUAAUAAUUUGAAAUUAAUUUUAAAUUUAAUUUUUAAUUAAAAAAUUAAUUAAAAGGAAUUCGGCAAAAUUUUAUUUUCACUUGUUUAUCAAAAACAUGUCUUUUUGUUUUAUAUUUAAAGUCUAAUCUGCCCACUGAUUUAUAAAAAUUAAAGGGCUGCAGUAUUUUGACUGUACAAAGGUAGCAUAAUCAUUAGUCUCUUAAUUGGUGACUUGUAUGAAAGAUUGGAUGAGAAAUAUACUGUCUCUUAAUUAAUUUAUAGAAUUUAAUUUUUUAUUUAAAAAGUUAAAAUUUAUUAAAAAGACGAGAAGACCCUAUAGAGUUUAAUAGUUAAAUUAUUAAUUGAUUAUUUAUAUUAUGAUAAAUUUUUAUUAAUUUAAUUAUUUUGUUGGGGUGAUAGAAAAAUAAAUAUAACUUUUUUUAAAAUUUAACAUAAAUAAGUGAUUAUUUGAUCCAAUUUUAUUGAUUAUAAGAUUAAAUUACCUUAGGGAUAACAGCGUAAUUUUUUUUUUUAGUUCUUAUAAGAAAAAAAGUUUGCGACCUCGAUGUUGGAUUAAGAUAAAAUUUAAAUGCAAAAGUUUAAAUUUUUGAUCUGUUCGAUCAUUAAAAUCUUACAUGAUCUGAGUUCAAACCGGUGUGAGCCAGGUUGGUUUCUAUCUUUUAAAAAAUUAAAUAUUCUAGUACGAAAGGAUUGAGUAUUUUAAUUAAAUUAUUUAUUAUGAAUUUUAAUAAUUAUAUAAUAAAAAUAUAU